This 72-nucleotide transfer RNA is filed under the name Armatimonadota bacterium. RNAcentral's name for it is "Armatimonadetes bacterium (rhizosphere metagenome) tRNA-Arg". It matches the Rfam family "tRNA". From Rfam's summary of the family: Transfer RNA (tRNA) molecules are approximately 80 nucleotides in length. Lineage: Bacteria; Bacillati; Armatimonadota. The record is from RNAcentral.
GCCCUCGUAGCUCAGUGGAGAGAGCGCGAGUUUGCGAUGCUCGAGGCGCAGGUUCAAUUCCUGCCGAGGGCG